UACGGGGGGGGCAAGCGUUGUUCGGAAUUACUGGGCGUAAAGGGCUCGUAGGCGGCCAACUAAGUCAGACGUGAAAUCCCUCGGCUUAACCUGGGAAUGGCGUUUGGGACUGGAAGUCUGGAGUGCGGCAGAGGAGACUGGAAUUCCUGGUGUAGCAGUGAAAUGCGUAGAUAUCAGGAGGAACACCGAUGGCGAAGGCAGGUCUCUGGGCUGACACUGACGCUCAUG
This 228-nucleotide ribosomal RNA is filed under the name uncultured prokaryote. RNAcentral describes it as "partial 16S ribosomal RNA". It matches the Rfam family "Bacterial small subunit ribosomal RNA", at positions 524 to 751 of the family's 1533-position model. The record is from RNAcentral.